RNAcentral lists this ribosomal RNA (460 nucleotides) under uncultured bacterium. RNAcentral's name for it is "partial 16S ribosomal RNA". It matches the Rfam family "Bacterial small subunit ribosomal RNA", at positions 338 to 795 of the family's 1533-position model. The record is from RNAcentral.
CCUACGGGAGGCUGCAGUGAGGAAUAUUGGUCAAUGGGCGCGAGCCUGAACCAGCCAAGUAGCGUGAAGGAUGACUGCCCUACGGGUUGUAAACUUCUUUUAUAAAGGAAUAAAGUGAGGCACGUGUGCCUGUUUGUAUGUACUUUAUGAAUAAGGAUCGGCUAACUCCGUGCCAGCAGCCGCGGUAAUACGGAGGAUCCGAGAGUUAUCCGGAUUUAUUGGGUUUAAAGGGAGCGUAGACGGGUUGUUAAGUCAGUGGUGAAAGUUUGCGGCUCAACCGUAAAAUUGCAAUUGAUACUGGCAGUCUUGAGUACAGUUGAGGUAGGCGGAAUUCGUGGUGUAGCGGUGAAAUGCUUAGAUAUCACGAAGAACUCCGAUUGCGAAGGCAGCUUACCAAACUGCCACUGACAUUGAUGCUCGAAAGUGUGGGUAUCAAACAGGAUUAGAUACCCGAGUAGUC